RNAcentral lists this ribosomal RNA (460 nucleotides) under uncultured bacterium. RNAcentral describes it as "partial 16S ribosomal RNA". It matches the Rfam family "Bacterial small subunit ribosomal RNA", at positions 338 to 795 of the family's 1533-position model. The record is from RNAcentral.
CCUACGGGUGGCAGCAGUGAGGAAUAUUGGUCAAUGGGCGAAAGCCUGAACCAGCCAAGUCGCGUGAGGGAUGAAGGUUCUAUGGAUCGUAAACCUCUUUUAUAGGGGAGUAAAGUACGGUACGUGUCCCGUAUUGUAUGUACCUUAUGAAUAAGGAUCGGCUAACUCCGUGCCAGCAGCCGCGGUAAUACGGAGGAUCCGAGCGUUAUCCGGAUUUAUUGGGUUUAAAGGGUGCGUAGGCGGCUUGUUAAGUCAGGGGUGAAAGUCUGGGGCUCAACCGUAGAAUUGCCGUUGAAACUGGGAGGCUUGAGUACAGUAGAGGUAGGCGGAAUGCGUGGUGUAGCGGUGAAAUGCUUAGAUAUAACGAAGAACACCGAUUGCGAAGGCAGCUUACUAGACUGUAACUGACGCUGAUGCUCGAAAGCGUGGGGAUCAAACAGGAUUAGAUACCCCAGUAGUC